GUCGGGGUGGCAGAGUGGCUUAACGCGAUGGCUUGCUAAGCCAUUGGGCUUCUAAAGCCCGCCCGGGUUCGAAUCCCGGCCCCGGCG
RNAcentral lists this transfer RNA (87 nucleotides) under Candidatus Nanohaloarchaea archaeon. RNAcentral's name for it is "Nanohaloarchaea archaeon tRNA-Ser". It matches the Rfam family "tRNA". From Rfam's summary of the family: Transfer RNA (tRNA) molecules are approximately 80 nucleotides in length. Lineage: Archaea; Methanobacteriati; Methanobacteriota; Candidatus Nanohaloarchaea. The record is from RNAcentral.